Molecule: long non-coding RNA, 292 nt
Organism: Hemiscyllium ocellatum (epaulette shark)
Lineage: Eukaryota; Metazoa; Chordata; Chondrichthyes; Orectolobiformes; Hemiscylliidae
Exons: 3
Source: RefSeq, a predicted model, not a curated record
GGGAUAAUGACUCCUCUGCGCAUUGUGAUUGUUGUCAGUGGCUUGCUUGUAAUUAUCGCUGCUGCUCCUAUCAUCUACAAGAUAACCACUUCUUCAUCCAACACAGAGACUGCAAAUGUCUUUGAAAUGCUGAGCCCGAUCACCAGACACGAGUCAGUAUUCGAAAGCACCUAAUUAAAGCAAAACCAACGAGGGAACAGCAAAGAAUGGUGACUUUGCCUGGAAUUAUACCUUGAAGAUAUUUGGGAAUUACAGAAAUGUUUGAUUUCUUGGCACAUUUUUAUUAUGUUGA